Molecule: ribosomal RNA, 440 nt
Filed under: uncultured bacterium
Lineage: Bacteria
Description: partial 16S ribosomal RNA
Rfam family: Bacterial small subunit ribosomal RNA
Source: RNAcentral
CCUACGGGAGGCAGCAGUGGGGAAUAUUGCACAAUGGGAGCAAGCCUGAUGCAGCGAUGCCGCGUGCGUGAAGACGUCUCUCGGUGUUGUAAGCUCUAUUUGUAGGGGAGAAAAUGACGGUACGUGUUUAAGAAGCCCCGGCUAACUACGUGCCAGCAGCCGCGGUAAUACGUAGGGGGCCAGCGUUAUCCGGAUUUACUGGGUGUAAAGGGAGCGUAGACGGCAGCGCAAGUCUGAAGUGAAAUGCCGGGGCUUAACCCCGAAACUGCUUUGGAAACUGUGCAGCUAGAGUGCAGGAGAGGUAAGUGGAAUGCCUGGUGUAGCGGUGAAAUGCGUAGAGAUUAGGAGGAACACCGGUUGCGAAGGCAGCUUACUGGACUGUAACUGACGUUGAGGCUCGAAAGCGUGGGGAGCAAACAGGAUUAGAUACCCCAGUAGUC